RNAcentral lists this non-coding RNA (230 nucleotides) under Peptoclostridium litorale. RNAcentral's name for it is "Clostridium litorale T-box sequence". It matches the Rfam family "T-box leader". Rfam says of the family: Uncharged tRNA acts as the effector for transcription antitermination of genes in the T-box leader family. T-boxes are found upstream of many aminoacyl-tRNA synthetase genes and some amino acid biosynthetic genes usually in Gram-positive bacteria. Lineage: Bacteria; Bacillati; Bacillota; Clostridia; Peptostreptococcales; Peptoclostridiaceae. The record is from RNAcentral.
AUAAAUGCAGUGAAGGAGAGCGUAUCUUACAAGCAGCUUAAAGAGAGUCGGCGUUUGGUGGGAGUCGAUAGUGCGGAGAAGAUAUUACUAGCUCUGGAGCACCGUCCUUGAAAACAGUAGAGGAUGGCGGAUGAACCCCGUUAAAGGUUAAGGCAAAGCCGAAAGAGGAGUCUUCUACAAAAUGGGAGGAGACAAUUAGGGUGGUACCGCGAAUAUUAUUCGCCCCUGAA